AAAAAAUGAAGUGUUUUGAACAGAAGCAUUUGUCUUUAUUUUGCAUUAUUACAAGGAGCUUUACAAAGGCAUUAAAGGUUAUCAAUUUGAGCCACUUAGAUAGCAUACACAUUCGAAUGCAAAUGAAAUAGUUGGCCAUGAAGAAAGUGCCGAGCACGCAGGGAGCAGGAUAUGCCUCGUGCUGGAAAAAAAGUCAGAGAGUUCUACAGAGAGGUCUCAACUACAGUGCGCAAGGAUAUGUACACGGAAUUAAGAUUUUGGACGGAGCAGGACGCAAUAUCAGAGUUACAGCGAAAUGUUGACGAUCAAAGCAAAAAAGUUUGACGCCUCACAAACUUCAUAUUGAAAUCCAACAGGAUAAAAUAGUGGAAUUGUACUGCACAUGUAAAGCAGGAUGUGCAUGUAAAUGCUGCAUAGAUAUGGAAAUAAUGGGAGAGCUUUUGCUGGCAUGAGACAACAUAUUCACCAGAAAAUGGCAGAUAAUUCUGACCAUCUACAGUGCAUGACGGAGC
Syngnathoides biaculeatus (alligator pipefish) is the source of this 512-nucleotide long non-coding RNA. RefSeq lists it as uncharacterized. The transcript is spliced from 3 exons. NCBI's taxonomy places the organism in Eukaryota, Metazoa, Chordata, Actinopteri, Syngnathiformes, Syngnathidae. The record is from RefSeq and is a predicted model, not a curated record.